This is a long non-coding RNA of Eurytemora carolleeae, 257 nucleotides long. RefSeq lists it as uncharacterized. The transcript is spliced from 4 exons. NCBI's taxonomy places the organism in Eukaryota, Metazoa, Arthropoda, Copepoda, Calanoida, Temoridae. The record is from RefSeq and is a predicted model, not a curated record.
UUUUAGGAAGUUUUGGAAUUUUAUCCCCAGGAUAAACUUACAAGGAAUAUGCAGGAACGGUUAAAUGAUCCCUAUGAUUUUAGAGACGAUAGUUCAACAGACAGGCAUAUUGAGAAUACAAUAUAUUGUGAAUCUGAGGACACAGAUUCAAGUAUUCUACAAACCAAUGAGAGAAGAGAUGAAGAUUACAAUAACUACACAACUCUACCUGUUCAGUACAAACUAGAUGAAACUACACAAACACCAAACCAUCUUUU